This 253-nucleotide unclassified non-coding RNA is filed under the name uncultured bacterium. Its description in RNAcentral is "contains 16S-23S intergenic spacer region". It matches the Rfam family "Bacterial small subunit ribosomal RNA", at positions 524 to 776 of the family's 1533-position model. The record is from RNAcentral.
UACGAGGGGUGCAAGCGUUAUUCGGAAUGACUGGGCGUAAAGGGUGUGUAGACGGCAUAUUAAGUCUUUUGUUAAAUACCUCAGCCUAACUGAGGAUCAGCGAGAGAAACUGAUAAGCUAGAGGUUGGAAGAGAGAAGUGGAAUUCUCGGAGUGGCGGUAAAAUGCGUAGAUCUCGAGAGGAACACCAAUGGCGAAGGCAGCUUCUUGGUCCAUACCUGACGUUGAGACACGAAAGUGUGGGGAGCAAACAGG